Molecule: transfer RNA, 72 nt
Filed under: Bos taurus (domestic cattle)
Lineage: Eukaryota; Metazoa; Chordata; Mammalia; Artiodactyla; Bovidae
Also listed under: 1 other name
Rfam family: tRNA
About the family: Transfer RNA (tRNA) molecules are approximately 80 nucleotides in length. Their secondary structure includes four short double-helical elements and three loops (D, anti-codon, and T loops). Further hydrogen bonds mediate the characteristic L-shaped molecular structure. tRNAs have two regions of fundamental functional importance: the anti-codon, which is responsible for specific mRNA codon recognition, and the 3' end, to which the tRNAs corresponding amino acid is attached (by aminoacyl-tRNA synthetases). tRNAs cope with the degeneracy of the genetic code in two manners: having more than one tRNA (with a specific anti-codon) for a particular amino acid; and 'wobble' base-pairing, i.e. permitting non-standard base-pairing at the 3rd anti-codon position.
Source: Rfam by way of RNAcentral
UCCCUGGUGGCUUAGACGGUAAAGUGUCUGCCUACAAUGCGGGAGACCCGGGUUUGAUUCCUGGGUGAGGAA